RNAcentral lists this small RNA (220 nucleotides) under Pelobates cultripes (western spadefoot toad). Lineage: Eukaryota; Metazoa; Chordata; Amphibia; Anura; Pelobatidae. The record is from RNAcentral.
CAGAGUGCGGGAGGGGGUGACUAGUGACAGAGUGCGGGAGGGGGUGACUAGUGACAGAGGGAGGGAUGAGGUGACUAGUGACCAUCACCCCCUCCCUCAUUCUGUCACUAGUCACACCCUCCCUCACUAGUCACCCUCCCCUGUCACUAGUCACCCCUCCCUCACUCUGUCACUAAUCACUACCUCACUCUGUCACUAGUCACCCUCUCCCUCACUCUGU